Molecule: non-coding RNA, 794 nt
Organism: Coffea arabica (coffee)
Lineage: Eukaryota; Viridiplantae; Streptophyta; Magnoliopsida; Gentianales; Rubiaceae
Source: RefSeq, a predicted model, not a curated record
CUUCUGCAUGACAGGAAAAACCCCCAUGAUUCAAGAAGAUGUCCAUAUCCCUAAACUGAUAGUACUUCUUUUCUGUUCCUGUGUCUUUUUUUUUUUACAGAGAAGUGAUGAAAGUAAAGCAUUCUUGGAAACUUAUACACAUAGAUUAACUAUUGUUAGGCAUUGUAACUGAGUCAAUCUAUCAUUUUCGUGUAGAUAAGAUAGCAAAUUUUGCUCAAACCAGCGAAGGCAAAGCCCAAGUGCCACUGAGAAUUGGAAAAAUCAUUUAGUGGUUGAACUCCAUUUGACAAUGUUUAAAAGUUUGGCAUUUCCAACAUGUCAAGUUAUUUCAUUUCCCUAGAGAAAUUCGUGCUUAGUGAAGGAUCAUUUGGCUUUCAUAACAGUCUAGGCAAAGCCACACAACAUACAAGAAACAGAACCAAACUGCAUUGUUAAGCAAACCUGCGGUAGAGAAGGUUGGGGCCUGGAGCUUGAUCAGAACCACGAUGAAAUGCAGAAACUCUAGGGAAACUCAAAGGCGACUGAGUAGCAUUACUCUGCUUUGAUCUCGUUGAAAUUGGUAUUGCUGUAGUUGCUGGUGCUGCUUGGGUUAACAAUGAAUUGGCCAUAAUUUCGAAUCACCUGUUAAUUAUGUUUGAAUCCAGAUGAAUUGACAUUUUCUUUUAAAGUCUUCUGUGGAGAACGAAAAAGAACUCCAAAAUGGAUAGUGCUUGUUUGGACAGCAGAUCCCUGAGCGGAACAAAGAUUUGAAGUUGAUUGGCUGAUUUUUGAUAAGGUCUCAUUUUGUGGACCCC